GGGAUGCGAUAUUGCUCCCGGAGCCGAUCGACGUUCGACCCCGAAAGUGAAGAGACCUCCACCUCCGGGGUCGACCGAGUGUCGUCAGUCGGCUCUCCCGACCGACUUCCUCGGGGGGAUGUUCUAGCCAUGGAUUAAAACAAAGGAAAUGAAGAAGAAGGCAGGGAGGAGGAGACGGUGAAGAUGAUGAUGGCCCCCAGAAGAAGAAGAGGGAGCUCCUAAGAAGAAAGGGAGCGGAGAAGAAUACCUGGAAUGAGGGAUUACGCG
This 267-nucleotide long non-coding RNA is filed under the name Elaeis guineensis (African oil palm). RNAcentral's name for it is "long non-coding RNA (EGUI_LNC013508)". Lineage: Eukaryota; Viridiplantae; Streptophyta; Magnoliopsida; Arecales; Arecaceae. The record is from RNAcentral.